This is a non-coding RNA of Parasteatoda tepidariorum (common house spider), 582 nucleotides long. The record is from RefSeq and is a predicted model, not a curated record. NCBI's taxonomy places the organism in Eukaryota, Metazoa, Arthropoda, Arachnida, Araneae, Theridiidae.
UUACUAUUGAUCUAGCUUAAAAAUUAAUUUAUAUCAUCUUAGAUUAUGUUUAACGCAAAGUACGUUUUAUUCUUUUUUACUAGGUUCAGAAUGGAUACAUUUCUCCAAUGAAGAAAGAUUGUCAAGGAUGAUUUCAUCGUUUUGAAGAGAUGGAAGACGCGAGAAGAUCCACACCCAUGGAAAGAAAAAUGACAUUUUUUCUGAUGUUGGAGAUAAAUCCUUUCUGAGAGUUCAGAAUGGAUACAUUUCUCCACUGAAGAAAGAUUGUCAAGAAUGAUUUCAUCGUUUUGAAGAGAUGGAAGACGCGAGAAGAUCCACACCCAUGGAAAGAAAAAUGACAUUUUUCUGAUAUUGGAGAGAAUUCCUUUCUGAGAGUUCAGAAUUGAUACAUUUCUCCAAUGAAGAAAGAUUGUCAAGGAUGAUUUCAUCGUUUUGAAGAGAUGGAAGACGCAAGAACAUCCACACCCAUGGAAAGAAAAAUGACAUUUUUCUGAUAUUGGAGAGAAAUCCUUUCUGAGAGUGUGUUAAUAUUAUUAUUGAUCUACCUUAAAAAUUAAUUUACAUUAUCUUAGAUUAUGUUUA